RNAcentral lists this transfer RNA (82 nucleotides) under Perkinsus olseni. RNAcentral's name for it is "tRNA-Ser". It matches the Rfam family "tRNA". Rfam says of the family: Transfer RNA (tRNA) molecules are approximately 80 nucleotides in length. Their secondary structure includes four short double-helical elements and three loops (D, anti-codon, and T loops). Lineage: Eukaryota; Perkinsozoa; Perkinsida; Perkinsidae. The record is from RNAcentral.
AAUAGCAUGUCCGAGUGGUUAAGGAGGUAGACUCGAACUUCACUAGGCUCAAUCUGUGCAGGUUCAAAUCCCGCAGUUAUCG